This 431-nucleotide ribosomal RNA is filed under the name uncultured bacterium. RNAcentral's name for it is "partial 16S ribosomal RNA". It matches the Rfam family "Bacterial small subunit ribosomal RNA", at positions 29 to 507 of the family's 1533-position model. The record is from RNAcentral.
AACGAACGCUGGCGGCAGGCUUAACACAUGCAAGUCGAGCGCCCCGCCAGGGGAGCGGCAGACGGGUGAGUAACGCGUGGGAACGUACCUUUUGGUUCGGAACAACUCCGGGAAACUGGAGCUAAUACCGGAUAAGCCCUAACGGGGAAAGAUAUAUCGCCGAAAGAUCGGCCCGCGUCUGAUUAGCUAGUUGGUGAGGUAACGGCUCACCAAGGCGACGAUCAGUAGCUGGUCUGAGAGGAUGAUCAGCCACACUGGGACUGAGACACGGCCCAGACUCCUACGGGAGGGAGCAGUGGGGAAUAUUGGAAAAUGGGCGCAAGCCUGAUCCAGCCAUGCCGCGUGAGUGAUGAAGGCCUUAGGGUUGUAAAGCUCUUUUGUCCGGGAAGAUAAUGACUGUACCGGAAGAAUAAGCCCCGGCUAACUUCGUG